Molecule: transfer RNA, 71 nt
Organism: Acanthamoeba castellanii str. Neff
Lineage: Eukaryota; Discosea; Longamoebia; Acanthamoebidae
Rfam family: tRNA
About the family: Transfer RNA (tRNA) molecules are approximately 80 nucleotides in length. Their secondary structure includes four short double-helical elements and three loops (D, anti-codon, and T loops).
Source: Rfam
GGCGCUGUAGUUAAGAGGUAGAAUUCCUGCUUUGGGUGCAGGGGGCCCCGGUUCGAUUCCGGGCAGCGCCC